RNAcentral lists this ribosomal RNA (426 nucleotides) under uncultured bacterium. Its description in RNAcentral is "bacterial SSU rRNA". It matches the Rfam family "Bacterial small subunit ribosomal RNA", at positions 28 to 457 of the family's 1533-position model. The record is from RNAcentral.
GAUGAACGCUGGCGGCGCGCCUAACACAUGCAAGUCGAACGGCACCCCUCUCCGGAGGGAAGCGAGUGGCGAACGGCUGAGUAACACGUGGGGAACCUGCCCCCUCCCCCGGGAUAGCCGCCCGAAAGGACGGGUAAUACCGGAUACCCCGGGGUGCCGCAUGGCACCCCGGCUAAAGCCCCGACGGGAGGGGAUGGCUCCGCGGCCCAUCAGGUAGACGGCGGGGUGACGGCCCACCGUGCCGACAACGGGUAGCCGGGUUGAGAGACCGACCGGCCAGAUUGGGACUGAGACACGGCCCAGACUCCUACGGGAGGCAGCAGUGGGGAAUCUUGCGCAAUGGGGGGAACCCUGACGCAGCGACGCCGCGUGCGGGACGGAGGCCUUCGGGUCGUAAACCGCUUUCAGCAGGGAAGAGUCAAGACU